Molecule: ribosomal RNA, 563 nt
Filed under: uncultured bacterium
Lineage: Bacteria
Description: bacterial SSU rRNA
Rfam family: Bacterial small subunit ribosomal RNA
Source: RNAcentral
UCGAGCGACAGAUGAGAAGCUUGCUUCUCUGAUGUUAGCGGCGUUCGGGUGAGUAACACGUGGGUAACCUACCUAUAAGACUGGGAUAACUCCGGGAAACCGGGGCUAAUACCGGAUAAUAUUUUGAACCGCAUGGUUCAAUAGUGAAAGACGGUUUCGGCUGUCACUUAUAGAUGGACCCGCGCCGUAUUAUCUAGUUGGUAAGGUAACGGCUUACCAAGGCGACGAUACUUAGCCGACCUGAGAGGGUGAUCGGCCACACUGGAACUGAUACACGGUCCAGACUCCUACGGGAGGCAGCAGUAGGGAAUCUUCCGCAAUGGGCGAAAGCCUGACGGAGCAACGCCGCGUGAGUGAUGAAGGUCUUCGGAUCGUAAAACUCUGUUGUUAGGGAAGAACAAAUUUGUUAGUAACUGAACAAGUCUUGACGGUACCUAACCAGAAAGCCACGGCUAACUACGUGCCAGCAGCCGCGGUAAUACGUAGGUGGCAAGCGUUAUCCGGAAUUAUUGGGCGUAAAGCGCGCGUAGGCGGUUUCUUAAGUCUGAUGUGAAAGCCCACGG